RNAcentral lists this ribosomal RNA (253 nucleotides) under uncultured bacterium. Its description in RNAcentral is "partial 16S ribosomal RNA". It matches the Rfam family "Bacterial small subunit ribosomal RNA", at positions 524 to 776 of the family's 1533-position model. The record is from RNAcentral.
UACGAAGGGGGCUAGCGUUGCUCGGAAUUACUGGGCGUAAAGCGUGCGCAGGCGGUUAUGUAAGACAGGUGUGAAAACUCGGGGCUUAACCCUGGGCCUGCAGUGGGUACGGGCAGACUAGAGUGCGGUAGGGGAGACUGGAAUUCCUGGUGUAGCGGUGAAAUGCGCAGAUAUCAGGAGGAACACCGGUGGCGAAGGCGGGUCUCUGGGCCGAUACUGACGCUGAGGAGCGAAAGCAUGGGUAGCGAACAGG